This 406-nucleotide ribosomal RNA is filed under the name uncultured bacterium. RNAcentral describes it as "partial 16S ribosomal RNA". It matches the Rfam family "Bacterial small subunit ribosomal RNA", at positions 30 to 526 of the family's 1533-position model. The record is from RNAcentral.
AUUGAACGCUGGCGGCAGGCUUAACACAUGUAAGUCGAUCGAGCGGUGGACGGGUGAGUAAUGUCUGGGAAACUGCCUGAUGGAGGGGGAUAACUACUGGAAACGGUAGCUAAUACCGCAUACCAUCAGAUGUGCCCAGAUGGGAUUAGCUAGUUGGUGGGGGAAUGGCGCACCUAGACGACGAUCCCUAGCUGGUCUGAGUGGAUGACGAGCCACACUGGAACUGAGACACGGUCCAGACUCCUACGGGAGGCGACAGUGGGGAUUAUUGCACAAUGGGCGAAAGCCUGAUGCAGCCAUGCCGCGUGUGUGAAGAAGGCCUACGGGUUGUAAAGCACUUUCAGAGAGGAGGCGUUACUCGCAGAAGAAGCACCGGCUAACUCCGUGCCAGCAGCCGCGGUAAUAC